Long non-coding RNA from Tachysurus vachellii, 1891 nucleotides. RefSeq lists it as uncharacterized. The transcript is spliced from 2 exons. The record is from RefSeq and is a predicted model, not a curated record. Lineage: Eukaryota; Metazoa; Chordata; Actinopteri; Siluriformes; Bagridae.
AAUAAAUAUAUAAAAAUAUGUCAUUUUAUCCAUAAUUACAGAGCUAUUUCCUCUUGUUUUAGUUUGAUCUAUUCAUGUACAGUGGAGCCCUAACGUCACAGACCACAAAAAUCCGGGAUUUAAAACAAUAAAAUAAAAAGAAGAAUUAAAUGUUUAAUAUCUUUAUUAUUUAAUAUUCACAAUUCUCCCCUAAUUUUAUGUCCCUAUGUUAACUGUCACUAUGCCUUGUACAAAAAAAAUCAGAUUUUUCACAUGUCUAAUCUCUUCUAUUGGCUUUGAUCUAAAAUGGGUCAUAGGUUUUUGCACAAACUUGUAGAAUUUAUGCCAGCUAAAGCUAACGCUGUUCUUAAAGCAGGAAAGAGAAAAACCGAAUGCUACAAAAUUCAUAGAAAUAUUUCCUAGAUUUUACUUUUCUAAGAAGAAUUUUACUUACUAACUUGUCAGUAAAAUAAUUUGUCAUAAAUUACUUUAUAUAUAAGAAAAGAUUGUAAAACAGAUGCAUUUUCACUAGCGCUCAGACUUUUACACGGGUUAACCCCAAAAUAAGAACUGAGAUUAUUAAACCAUUCAGAAGCUAUUAAGACCAGUUAAGACAGUGUUACUCAUUGCGCGGCUCGCAAGCCUCCUGCGGCUCGCCAAGCUUUAGUAUGCGGCUCGCAUGGCAGUAAAUAAUACGAUGAUAUGAUCAUGUGGUUAAAAUUUAUUUUUCAUUUAAAUAACAUUAAAAACAAUCAGGGAAGCAUAGAAAAACGAAUGUGCUCUAUUACAAAUAAUAAUAUAUAUUUAUAUAUAUUAUUUGACUAGUCACUGACUCACUGUGUUCUGGGCAAUAGCCAGUUUUUGGCGGCCUGCCAGAAGCUAGUUUGUGUUUCAUGCUAGAAAACAACUUGUGUUUACUGUACACACGGACUAAAAAAUGGAUCGAUUUCUUAUCAAACAAUCCCGCGCACAUGGGGAGUGCAUCAUCCGCAACUCGAGUAAUUAUUGUAUUGCAAUAUUGUGCAUUGUAUUUAAGCAGAUAAGCUAUUUAAGACUGAAUAACUUGGUAUACUUUGCGGUGAAAGUGGCUCUCCUAUUGACUUUGUCCUAUCAGUGUGGCUCACAUGAAAAAAAUAGUGAAGACCACUGAGUUAAGACAAACUAAUAUCAAGAGCAUUAUCAGAAUGAAACUUCCAAAUCCUUUCAAAGCUGAUCUUUAAGACCUGUAAACCUGUGUGUGGAAUGUGGCCUAGAAAACUAACUAGUUAUUAAUUCAUUUAAGACAAUAAGAAAUAAUCAUAACUCCAGAAACCUCCAGAAUUAUUGAAAGCAAAUAAUAUUUUGUAAUUAUUAAUAAGAUCAUAAAACAUAACAUUAAAAAUAACAUUACCACACAAAUUGUACAAAUGUAAAAACAGUCCUUAUGAACAUCUACCUAAAAUGUAAAAAUACAACUGAAUCAAUGAGUAGUUGCUUAGUUGAUAGAGAUGGGAUAAAAGUAAUAAAGAAAAAUGUGUAUGAAAAUGUAAUUUUUAAAAAAGUAAAUAAAUUCAUUAAUAAAAAAAAAUAAUUCAUUAUAAACAUAAUAAUUUUCACAUUUUAGUUAUUUAUUAAUAUAAUUUCUGAAACUUUUUUAAUACAUUUAUCUUAAAAAAUGGAGGCAAAAUCAUCACAUUUGUCAGUGGUGUCUGGAUUAAGAAAACAUCUGUUGAUAUCACAAACGUGUUUUGACUUUUGAAAUGAGGAAACGUAUUUACCCUUGAAGAACAGGACCGAGUCUGUGGUGCACUCUCCUUUUGGACACUCCACUGCUGCAUCCAGGUGACUGGGAACACCUGGGAACACCUGCUGGAUCUCCUUAGGGAAGCCUUUCUCCAGAGUGUGGUUGUAGUAACUGAAGACUUGGUCAUCC